Molecule: ribosomal RNA, 440 nt
Filed under: uncultured bacterium
Lineage: Bacteria
Description: partial 16S ribosomal RNA
Rfam family: Bacterial small subunit ribosomal RNA
Source: RNAcentral
ACUACGGGGUGCAGCAGUGGGGAAUAUUGCACAAUGGGGGAAACCCUGAUGCAGCGACGCCGCGUGAAGGAAGAAGUAUUUCGGUAUGUAAACUUCUAUCAGCAGGGAAGAAAAUGACGGUACCUGACUAAGAAGCCCCGGCUAACUACGUGCCAGCAGCCGCGGUAAUACGGAGGGGGCAAGCGUUAUCCGGAGUAACUGGGUGUAAAGGGGGCGUAGGCGGCGAUGCAAGUCAGAAGUGAAAGCCCGGGGCUCAACUCCGGGACUGCUUUUGAAACUGUGUUGCUAGAUUGCAGGAGAGGUAAGUGGAAUUCGUGGUGUAGCGGUGAAAUGCGUAGAUAUUAGGAGGAACACCAGUGGCGAAGGCGGCUUACUGGACUGUAAAUGACGCUGAGGCUCGAAAGCGUGGGGAGCAAACAGGAUUAGAUACCCGGGUAGUC